This 658-nucleotide ribosomal RNA is filed under the name Bacillus sp. B18(2016). RNAcentral describes it as "partial 16S ribosomal RNA". It matches the Rfam family "Bacterial small subunit ribosomal RNA", at positions 137 to 780 of the family's 1533-position model. The record is from RNAcentral. Lineage: Bacteria; Bacillati; Bacillota; Bacilli; Caryophanales; Bacillaceae.
ACUGGGAUAACUCCGGGAAACCGGGGCUAAUACCGGAUAAUAUUUUGAACUGCAUGGUUCGAAAUUGAAAGGCGGCUUCGGCUGUCACUUAUGGAUGGACCCGCGUCGCAUUAKCUAGUUGGUGAGGUAACGGCUCRCCAMGGCAACGAUGCGUASCCRACCUGAGAGGGUGAUCGGCCACACUGGGACUGAGACMCGRCCCAKACUCCUACGGGAGGCAGCARUARGGAAUCUUCCGCAAUGGACGAAAGUCUGACGGASCAACGSCGCGUGARUGAUGAAGGCUUUCGGGUCGUAAAACUCUGUUGUUARGGAAGAACAAGUGCUARUUGAAUAAGCUGGMACCUUGACGGUACCUAACCASAAAGCCACGGCUAACUACSUGCCASCAGCCGCGGUAAUACGUAGGUGGCAAGCGUUAUCCGGAAUUAUUGGGCGUAAAGCGCGSGCAGGUGGUUUCUUAAGUCUGAUGUGAAAGCCCACGGYUCAACCGKGGAGGGUCAUUGGAAACUGGGAGACUUGARUGCRGAAGAGGAAAGUGGAAUUCCAUGUGUAGCGGUGAAAUGCGUAGAGAUAUGGAGGAACACCARUGGCGAAGGCKACUUUCUGGUCUGUAACUGACACUGAGGCGCGAAAGCGUGGGGAGCAAACAGGAUUA